Molecule: non-coding RNA, 346 nt
Organism: Paramuricea clavata
Lineage: Eukaryota; Metazoa; Cnidaria; Anthozoa; Malacalcyonacea; Plexauridae
Source: the annotation of a GenBank genome assembly
UGCAUUAGGCUGUAACCCCCCUGAAAACAUUCAAAAUAGCCAGCUUGGUUGAGGCUUAAUUUCAAGGGGUGAGUGCCUCACAAGCAUACUGACUAGGAAUAUGGUGAGUGAGCGCUUUGCAUACGAAUACAUGACGUGGUGGAUCUAAUGGGUCGUUCCAGAAAAGAUCCAUACUCCCCCCACAGAGGAAGUUUCUGCCGUCCGGAGGGGGAGGGGAGAAAAAAUUGUUUCUGAUAAUUAUAGUAAAUGUAUUAGGACAUCCGAAGGGGGUAGGGGGGUUAGCUUCCUAUUUCCUCUGUGGGGGUGGUAUGGAUGUUUUGUGGAAUGACCCAAUAAAGGUUUUGGC